RNAcentral lists this ribosomal RNA (301 nucleotides) under uncultured bacterium. RNAcentral describes it as "partial 16S ribosomal RNA". It matches the Rfam family "Bacterial small subunit ribosomal RNA", at positions 509 to 807 of the family's 1533-position model. The record is from RNAcentral.
CAGCAGCCGCGGUAAUACGAAGGGUGCAAGCGUUACUCGGAAUUACUGGGCGUAAAGCGUGCGUAGGUGGUGGUUUAAGUCCGUUGUGAAAGCCCUGGGCUCAACCUGGGAAUUGCAGUGGAUACUGGGUCACUAGAGUGUGGUAGAGGAUAGUGGAAUUUCCGGUGUAGCAGUGAAAUGCGUAGAGAUCGGAAGGAACAUCUGUGGCGAAGGCGACUAUCUGGGCCAACACUGACACUGAGGCACGAAAGCGUGGGGAGCAAACCGGAUUAGAGACCCCUGUAGUCCCUGUCUCUUAUAC